This 439-nucleotide ribosomal RNA is filed under the name uncultured Anaerovorax sp. RNAcentral describes it as "partial 16S ribosomal RNA". Lineage: Bacteria; Bacillati; Bacillota; Clostridia; Peptostreptococcales; Anaerovoracaceae. The record is from RNAcentral.
GACUACCGGGGUAUCUAAUCCUGUUUGCUCCCCACGCUUUCGUGCCUCAGUGUCAGUUACAGUCCAGAAAGCCGCCUUCGCCACUGGUGUUCCUCCUAAUAUCUACGCAUUUCACCGCUACACUAGGAAUUCCGCUUUCCUCUCCUGCACUCAAGUCUUCCAGUUCGCGAGGCUUACAAUAGUUGAGCUAUUGCCUUUCACCACACGCUUAAAAAACCACCUACGCACUCUUUACGCCCAAUAAUUCCGGAUAACGCUCGCCCCCUACGUAUUACCGCGGCUGCUGGCACGUAGUUAGCCGGGGCUUCCUCGGGAAGUACCGUCAUUAUCUUCCUUCCCGACAGAGCUUUACGACCCAAAGGCCUUCUUCGCUCACGCGGCGUUGCUGCAUCAGGCUUUCGCCCAUUGUGCAAUAUUCCCCACUGCAGCCACCCGUAGG